GACGAACGCUGGCGGCGUGCCUAAUACAUGCAAGUAGAACGCUGAAGAGAGGAGCUUGCUCUUCUUGGAUGAGUUGCGAACGGGUGAGUAACGCGUAGGUAACCUGCCUGGUAGCGGGGGAUAACUAUUGGAAACGAUAGCUAAUACCGCAUGAUAUUAAUUAUUGCAUGAUAAUUGAUUGAAAGAUGCAAUUGCAUCACUACCAGAUGGACCUGCGUUGUAUUAGCUAGUUGGUGAGGUAACGGCUCACCAAGGCGACGAUACAUAGCCGACCUGAGAGGGUGAUCGGCCACACUGGGACUGAGACACGGCCCAGACUCCUACGGGAGGCAGCAGUAGGGAAUCUUCGGCAAUGGGGGGAACCCUGACCGAGCAACGCCGCGUGAGUGAAGAAGGUUUUCGGAUCGUAAAGCUCUGUUGUAAGAGAAGAACGGGUGUGAGAGUGGAAAGUUCACACUGUGACGGUAUCUUACCAGAAAGGGACGGCUAACUACGUGCCAGCAGCCGCGGUAAUACGUAGGUCCCGAGCGUUGUCCGGAUUUAUUGGGCGUAAAGCGAGCGCAGGCGGUUAGAUAAGUCUGAAGUUAAAGGCUGUGGCUUAACCAUAGUAUGCUUUGGAAACUGUUUAACUUGAGUGCAGAAGGGGAGAGUGGAAUUCCAUGUGUAGCGGUGAAAUGCGUAGAUAUAUGGAGGAACACCGGUGGCGAAAGCGGCUCUCUGGUCUGUAACUGACGCUGAGGCUCGAAAGCGUGGGGAGCAAACAGG
RNAcentral lists this ribosomal RNA (765 nucleotides) under uncultured Streptococcus sp. Its description in RNAcentral is "bacterial SSU rRNA". It matches the Rfam family "Bacterial small subunit ribosomal RNA", at positions 28 to 776 of the family's 1533-position model. Lineage: Bacteria; Bacillati; Bacillota; Bacilli; Lactobacillales; Streptococcaceae. The record is from RNAcentral.